Molecule: ribosomal RNA, 497 nt
Filed under: uncultured bacterium
Lineage: Bacteria
Description: partial 16S ribosomal RNA
Rfam family: Bacterial small subunit ribosomal RNA
Source: RNAcentral
GAUGAACGCUGGCGGCGUGCCUAAUACAUGCAAGUCGAGCGAACAGACGAGGAGCCUGCUCCUCUGACGUUAGCGGCGGACGGGUGAGUAACACGUGGAUAACCUACCUAUAUGACUGGGAUAACUUCGGGAAACCGGAGCUAAUACCGGAUAAUAUAUUGAACCGCAUGGUUCAAUAGUGAAAGACGGUUUUGCUGUCACUUAUAGAUGGAUCCGCGCCGCAUUAGCUAGUUGGUAAGGUAACGGCUUACCAAGGCAACGAUGCGUAGCCGACCUGAGAGGGUGAUCGGCCACACUGGAACUGAGACACGGUCCAGACUCCUACGGGAGGCAGCAGUAGGGAAUCUUCCGCAAUGGGCGAAAGCCUGACGGAGCAACGCCGCGUGAGUGAUGAAGGUCUUCGGAUCGUAAAACUCUGUUAUUAGGGAAGAACAAAUGUGUAAGUAACUAUGCACGUCUUGACGGUACCUAAUCAGAAAGCCACGGCUAACUACGUG